This is a non-coding RNA of Bos taurus (domestic cattle), 72 nucleotides long. NCBI's taxonomy places the organism in Eukaryota, Metazoa, Chordata, Mammalia, Artiodactyla, Bovidae. The record is from Rfam.
UCCUGGGUGGCUCAGACACUAAAGUGUCUGUCUGUAAUGCGGGAGAUCCAGGUUCGAUCCCUGGGUCAGGAA